UACGUAGGGUCCGAGCGUUGUCCGGAAUUACUGGGCGUAAAGAGCUCGUAGGUGGUUUGUCGCGUCGGCCGUGAAAACCUGCAGCUUAACUGUGGGCUUGCGGUCGAUACGGGCAUCACUGGAGUUCGGCAGGGGAGACUGGAAUUCCUGGUGUAGCGGUGAAAUGCGCAGAUAUCAGGAGGAACACCGGUGGCGAAGGCGGGUCUCUGGGCCGAUACUGACGCUGAGGAGCGAAAGCGUGGGGAGCGAACAGG
Molecule: ribosomal RNA, 254 nt
Filed under: uncultured bacterium
Lineage: Bacteria
Description: partial 16S ribosomal RNA
Rfam family: Bacterial small subunit ribosomal RNA
Source: RNAcentral